AUGACGGUACCUGAAGAAGAAGCACCGGCUAACUACGUGCCAGCAGCCGCGGUAAUACGUAGGGUGCGAGCGUUAAUCGGAAUUACUGGGCGUAAAGCGUGCGCAGGCGGUUUGGUAAGACAGAUGUGAAAUCCCCGGGCUUAACCUGGGAACUGCAUUUGUGACUGCCAGACUAGAGUGUAGCAGAGGGGGGUAGAAUUCCACGUGUAGCAGUGAAAUGCGUAGAGAUGUGGAGGAAUACCGAUGGCGAAGGCAGCCCCCUGGGCUAACACUGACGCUCAUGCACGAAAGCGUGGGGAGCAAACAGGAUUAGAUACCCUGGUAGUCCACGCCCUAAACGAUGUCAACUAGGUGUUGGGGAAGGAGACUUCUUUAGUACCGCAGCUAACGCGUGAAGUUGACCGCCUGGGGAGUACGGUCGCAAGAUUAAAACUCAAAGGAAUUGACGG
RNAcentral lists this ribosomal RNA (449 nucleotides) under uncultured beta proteobacterium. Its description in RNAcentral is "bacterial SSU rRNA". It matches the Rfam family "Bacterial small subunit ribosomal RNA", at positions 469 to 916 of the family's 1533-position model. Lineage: Bacteria; Pseudomonadati; Pseudomonadota; Betaproteobacteria. The record is from RNAcentral.